UGAUUCUCUUGCUCACAUAACUGAGCCAAUACUUGCACAGCUGAGCACUCAGUCAAUUUGGUCUUGAUGUUUGACGCUGAGGGGGACUGGCACAAGGCAUAGAAGAUUCGGAGAAUGUUUUGUUGGACAUCAGGCCCUGUCCAGCUUAUCAAAGAGAAAAGCAUCAAAGCGUCUUCAUCAGAUUCCAACAAUGAAAUUGGUGUUGGGUUGGAUCCUUGGGACACCGUUGAUUCAGCUAAGUGCAUAAUCGUGGCCGCCACAUGUUCACGCAAACCUGAAGAUGAUGAGAUAUGCCGGACAAGAAGAUCAAGUAAUGCGCGCACUGCACCUUCUCUAAUCAUCUGCAGGCCAUUUGCUGGUAA
This 362-nucleotide unclassified non-coding RNA is filed under the name Hevea brasiliensis (rubber tree). Lineage: Eukaryota; Viridiplantae; Streptophyta; Magnoliopsida; Malpighiales; Euphorbiaceae. The record is from RNAcentral.